This is a long non-coding RNA of Thamnophis elegans (Western terrestrial garter snake), 1128 nucleotides long. RefSeq lists it as uncharacterized. The record is from RefSeq and is a predicted model, not a curated record. The transcript has 2 exons. Lineage: Eukaryota; Metazoa; Chordata; Lepidosauria; Squamata; Natricidae.
AUGGGGCAAAACUCACUUAACAAAUGUCUCCUUGAACAACAUAAAUUUUGGGUUCAAUUGUGGCCUGUACUUGUCAUACGAGAGGAUAAGCCCUCUUCCAUGAUAAACAUUCACCAACAUAGGAUUGUCUUGGGGAAAUGCAGGGAGGACUGCUAGGUAUGCUUUGAACAAAAUAAAAUCCAAAUAUAGAAUUACUAGAUAGGCUGCUAUGAUAGAACCAAAUGAUUUCUCCUACUCAUGUUGUUGUAUCAAUCUGACAUUUUAAAGUCUUCAGAUUCCAUGGGGCCCUUAGCACUCACAGGAUAACUGCAACCAGGAACAUAGUUCAGAUGCUACUGGAUAGAGGUUUAGUUUGUCCAUUAAAACCAGGCCACAAUUAGGCCACAAGAGCUACUGGGGCAGUUUAUGAUCACCAUACAGAAAUGAGAGUGGUUUAAAGAUCUCUAUUUAAAGUCAGGGUCCUUCAGCAUAGCAGUGUUUGCAGAAUAGAUCUCCAAAUUAAAAACAUAGCAAAAUCCUGCCCUGGGAUACAAAUCUGAAAUAAAAUAUUUUAUGUUUCAGGAACAAAACAAAGCAGCCUCCCAAAAGCUAUUGAUUCCAACUGCCAGCAACCUUCCCUGUUGGCCAAAGAGACUGGGAUCAGUGGGAGUUGAAAUUUAAAACCCGAGACAGGAAGAGAGGUGAUGGCAAAGAAGAAAGCCCUUGGAAUAAGACGGUUAAUCGGUAUUAUAUUUUCAUUAAUAAAUAAGUUCUCUUUUAAUAACACUGAACAUUUCACAGAUCUCCCCCCUCCCCGCCCUCCCAUAUUGCCUUUCUUUCCACACAUAUACACAAGAUCAAUAGAAGGUCAUUCUCUCCUCCCACCCACCCCAGCUUUAUCUCUACGAGGAAGGAUGCCUGGGCACCUGUAUCCUAGAUACAGAGAAGGGUACAUGUGUAGGCCCAGAGGGAGAAAGGAGAGAUGCUUGCUCUCAGUCCGCAUCCAACAGGCAAUUGACAAGCAGCAGAUGGACGUGAUGACCUAGGAGGCCAAAGGAAGAUAUUAACUGUGCAGUGGCAAGGCAGGAUAGUGGUGGUGGUGAUUUUUUUUCCAGUUCCUUCAAAUAUGCGCAAUAAUCACCAGAGCUG